Molecule: long non-coding RNA, 25630 nt
Filed under: Marmota monax (woodchuck)
Lineage: Eukaryota; Metazoa; Chordata; Mammalia; Rodentia; Sciuridae
Source: RNAcentral
CUAACCGCCCGCCUACUGCAAUCAGCCGGUGUUGGCACCACCGUUCGUGAAGCCGAGGUCCUUUAAGGGACAAAAAGAAUAAGGAAUUUAACUGGUUAGUUGAGUAGCGUGAGUUUGGAACUGAGCAGAGGGAAAGGCUUACGCGGAAUGAAAACUCGGUGUCUCUAAAGUACCUACUGUCCAAGGUACUGCAACAAGUUCUUGCUCUCUGGCCCCGGUCCCACUACCUGCUAAUGUUAGUAGUGGUCUUUUUAGUAGUUAGUAGUGGUCUUAUUGCAAGGGAUAGACGUUUGAUUUUACAUUUAACGUUUAUUGAGCGCCUGCCUGUUGUGAGGUCCCAGGCUCAGUGAAGGAAACAGAUUUCUGCAGUCUUGAAGGUUAUAUUCUAACAAAGGGAGGCGAUGCAUUAUGUGGUGUGUUAGAAGGUGGUUACGAGGUUUGGGAGAGGAAAAAGUAGGGCAGUUCACAUCAUUAAAUAGGAGGUCAGGUUAAACACCAGUGGGAAAGUGAGAUCUGAAAGAACUGAAGGAGGCUAGGAGAAGAGCAGUCCAGGCAGAGAGAAUAGUUGACAUUAUCAAAAAGAAAAGAGGGGCUGGAGAGAGGAAAGUGAAAUAGAGUGCAGAUUUCGCAAGGUCCUGUGUGCGUGGCAGUUACUCCGGAAUGGGGAGCAUUGCAGGAUUUUGAGCAGAAGAAUGACACCAUCUGACUUAUGUUUUAAAAUAAUUGCUCUGGCUGCUGUGUUUAGAACCAAAUGAAAGAGAAUAUUGACAGAAGCAAGGAAACCUGCUAGAAGGUUAUUACAAUAGUGCAUAGUACAGGGUGCAGGAGAUGAAUAUUGCUUGGAACAGGUUAGUAUGGAAAAGUGCUCAGAUUUUUUUUUUUGGGGGGGGUACUGUAAAUUGAAUUGAAGAUCUCUUAUGCAUGAGAACUCUACCACUGUGCUACCCGCCCCUGGCUAUUUUAAUUUUAUUUUGAGACAGGGUCUUGCUAAGUUGCCAGUCACAAACUUGUGAUCUGACCUAGCUCAGUGGCCCAUGCCCAUAAUCCCAGCAGCUCAGGAGGCUGAGCCAGGAGGAUGGAGAGUUCAAACAGCCUCAGCAAUGGGAAGGCACUAAGCAACUCAGUGAGACUCUGUCUCAAAAUACAAAAUUGGGCUGGGAUGUGGCUCAGUGAUGGAGUCUCCCUGAGUUCAAUCCCUGGUAUCCCAAAAAGAAACAAAGCAAACAAAGGAAAAACUUGUGAUCCUCCUGCCUCAGUUUCCUGAGUACCAGAAUUACAUGCAUUCACCAAGUGCCUGGCCAAAAGUGGUUAGACUGAAUGCAUUUUGAAGGUAGAGAUGAUAUCAAGAGAGGAAUUAAGACUCUCUAAGCCAGAUCUGGUGGCCUAUUACUGUAGUCUCAGCUAUUUGGGAGGCUGAGGCAGGAGAACUGAUUGAGCCCUGAUAUUGGGCCACAUAUCAAGAUCCCAUCUCAAGGGGCUGCAGUUGUUUGUAGUUCAGUGGUAGAGUGCUUGCCUAGUAUGUAUGAGGCACUGAGUUUGAUCCUCAGUACCACAUAAAGAUAAAUAAAUAAAAUGAAGGUAUUUUAUUCAUCUACAACUGAAAAAAUAAAACAAAAAGAAAAUCCCAUCUCAAGAAAGUCCCUUUAAGGGGCUGGGGAUAUGGCUCAAGCGGUAGCAUGCUCGCCUGGCAUGCGUGCGGCCCGGGUUCGAUCCUCAGCACCACAUACAAACAAAGAUGUUGUGUCUACCGAAAACUAAAAAAUAAAUGUUAAAAAUUCUCUCUCUCUCUUAAAAAAAGAAAAAAAGAAAGUCCCUUUAAGGAUUUAGCCUGAGCAAUUAAAGGGGGGCUUGACAUCGACUGAGGUAGAAAAGGCUAGGACCGGAGGAACAGAAUUGGAGACCCAGGAAAAUAAGUAUUUAUAAUAUUUUACAAAUUAGAAUCUUUUGGUCAGAGAAGCAUGGUUGUAACCAGAGCAUGUAACCGAGUUUGCUAACUUAGAUGAGGAUCAAGAAGAUGUUCUUCCACCCCAUAUGGAUGAUGGGGGGUUGGGUACUGGAGAUUGAACCCAGGAUGCUUUACUACUGAGCUACAUUUCCAGCCCUUUUUAUUUUUUGAGACAGAGUGUUGCUAAAUUGCUCAAGCUGACCUUGAACUUGCAAUUUUCCUGUCUCAGCCUCCCCAGUGGCUGGGAUUACAAGUACCAGGUGAGACCAAAGGAAGUUUUUAAACAGGCUUAUUACACAAAGAGAAAUUGAGAGCAGCCAAGAGAUAAUGGAAAUUUUUGAAUGCCUUCUGGUGAAUAUGGAUGGCCACUCAGACCCAAUCGCUCACUGAAAACAAUAAGAUUGCAGGAUAGAGGGGUUUGGUAUAGCAUCAGAAGCAGUUUGGAGUUCAACUGCAAGUUUCAAAGAUGCUGCCCAGAGAAAAGAAAAAGUGGUUCUGGAAGAGAGGGAGGGAAGGAAGUAGCUUCUGGAUGUGACAGUGCUGUCAAGAAGGCUCGGGAUUCUGAAGAUGGUGGCAAUGCAAGAAAGGUCAGACAUAUUCAGGUGAAAAACAUGGAAAAGUUAAGGUCUGGAAUGAGAUGUAAUGAAGUGGCUGCACAACAGAGUAAGGAUAAACCCAGGCAAGGGUUGACUUGUGUUGGAUGACCGAGGAUUCAUUUUAAGCAGCAACAUUUGCCUUUCCUGUAAGUAGGAUGGAUAAGCCUGUGUUUAUAGACCCUCCAGCUAAGACAAGGAAGAAAAUAUUAUGUAAGAGACUGAAAAAAGAUAUAUACAGAGGCAUGGAAUAUAGUUUGGUGGUAGAGCACUUGCCUAGCAUACUCAAGGCCCUGGGUUCAAUCUCCAUACUGCAUACACAAACACACACACACACACACACACACACAGAGUGAAGAAUUACCAGGCUAGGGGCUGGGGAGUGGCUCAAGUGGUAGCAUGCUCGCCUAGCAUGUGUGAGGCACUGGGUUUGAUUCUCAACACCACAUAAAAAUAAAGAUAUUGUGUCCACCUAAAAUAUAUAUAUAUAUAUAUAUAUAUAUAUAUAUAUAUAUAUAUAUAUAUAUUUUUUUUUUUUUUAAUUACCAGGCUAAAAUCUAAGUGAAAGUGUGAAUCCAGAGAGAAUCUAAGCACUUAUACUGUGUUUACCCCAAAGGUAUUUGCCAAACUAGGUGAACAUGAACUGGUGAAAGUAGAUAGGUUAUUGUGAGCAGGUGAAUGAGCACAUAAAUGUGAGCAGGCAUUGCAGAACAGAGAACUAGUCCAGGGUCUGCUGAGUAAUUAAGAGGAGAUGCCCCCGACCAAGGCUGGGAUCCCAAAGCAGUAGACCAAGAGUAAUUUGACCCAGCUUCCUUGACACCUCAGGGAAUUGGGAAAAAAAAAAUUCUUGGUGAGAGUAGAGAAGAAAGAGGGAAAGAAAUUAUUUCUGAGAAGUUGUGAUGACACACCAGACCUGGGGUGGAUAUGCAGCUCUAAAUUACAUAAAUUUUGCAGUUAAAAAUACUCUUUUUUUUUAAGAUGUUGAUGGACCUUUAUUUUAUUUUAUUAUUAUUAUUAGUAGUAGUAGUAGUAGUAGUUAUAGAUGGACACAAUGUCUAUUUUAUUUCUAUUUAUUUUUAUGUGGUGCUGAGGAUCGAAGCCAGGCCUCAAAUGUGCAAGGCAAGCGUUUUACCACUGAGCCACAACCCCAGCUCCGGACCUUUAUUUUAUUCAUUUAUUUAUAUAUGGUGCUGAGAAUUGAACCCAGUGUCUCAAACAUUCUAGGCAAGCGCUCUGCCACUGAGUCCCAAACCCAGCAGCUUAAAAAUACUCUUAGCUAUAAAUUUCAAGUGCCUGCAGAAACAGGACAUUGUGGUGUGCACCUGUAGUCCUAGUUAUUUUGGAAGCUGAGGCAAGGGGAUCACAAGAUCAAGGCAACUUAGUGAAACAUUAUCUCAAACAAUGUUAGUUAACUGGAAGAGGCAAAUACAAAUCUUCUAAAAUGUUUUCAUGGAGAAUAUAAAGUCAAAAUAUCCACAUAGAGAAAUAAGAAAAAGCAGAAUCUGACAUACAAACACUAAUAUAUUGGAAUUAUAUUCAAAUUAUAAAAUAUCUGUGAAUAUAUGUUGAAAGAAAUAAAACAUGAGCUUGAAAAAUAUUUGUAAGGAGCAAGAAACAGCAUCAACCCGGCAUGGUAAUGCAUGCCUAUAAUCCCAGUAGCUCAGGAGGCUAAGGCAGGAGAAUCCUGAGUUCAAAGCCAAACUCAGCAAAAACAAGGCACUAAAGCAACUCAGUGACACCCUGUCUCUAAAUAAAAUACAAAAUAUUUUAUUUUGGGGAUGUGGCUCAGUGGUUGAGGGUCUCUGAGUUCAAAUCCCUGGUACCCCCCACCAAAAAAAAAAAAAAAAGAGGAGGAGGAGGAGGGAAAGAAAGGAAAGAGAAAAAAUAAACAACAUCAAAUGACCUAUCAGAGCUGAAAAGAAACAAAUAGGACUUUUUCUUUUUUUCUUUCUCAGAACUGGGAAUUUAACUCAGAGGUUCUGUACCACUGAACUGUAUCCAUAACUCUUUUCUUUUGUUAAUAUAUAUAAGCUUUUAGUCGUCGAUGGAACUUUAUCUGUGGUGCUGAGAAUUGAACCCAAUGCUUCACACUUGCUAGACAAGCACUUUACCACUGAGCUCUACCACCAGCCUCCAUAAAUCUUUUAAUAUAAAUUUGAGACAGAGUCUAAGUUAUGAAGGCUGGCCUCAACUUGCAACCCUCCUGCCUCAGCUCCCCAUGCCUGACCCAAAUGGAAAUUUUCAGAAAUUAAACACAAUAAUUGAAAUUUAAAACUCAAUAGAAUGGAAAUUUUUUAUCUGAUAAAAGAUAUACCUAUAAACAAGUUCACAAUUGUGAAACAUGGAAUACUUUCUUUCCAAGAUUGCAAACAAGUCAAGGAUGUCCACUCUCACUACUUCUAUUCAACAUUAUACUGAAAUUUUUAGCCAGUGCAAUAAGGCAAGAAAAAGGAAACACAUGAGAAUUAGAAAUCAAGAACCAAAAUUAUUUCCAUUUGUGCCUGACAUGAUUAUUUACAUAGAAAAAUCCUAAGGAAUCUAUAACAUUACUACAACAGAUAAAUUAAUUUGGCUCUGCCUUGGAUACAAAGUCUAUAUUGCAAAAAUCAGUUGUGGGCUGGGGAUAUAGCUCAGUUGGGAGAGUGCUUUCCUUGAAUGCACAAGGCCCUGGGUUCAAUCCCCAGCAUCACAAAAAAAAAAAAAAAAAAAUCAGGUGUAAAUUUUCAGCUGUAAAUUUUGUAUAUUAUUAGCAAAAACUGAAAAGCAAAAUUUAAAGGAUGUCCACAUUACAACUCUUCAUUUAACAAAGUCCUAGAAAUUCUAGCCAGCAUAAUAGGGCAAGAAUAGGAAUUAAGAGGCAUACAGACUGGAAUAGAAGAAAUAAAACUGUCACAAUUUGUAGAUUACAUAAUUGUCUAUAGAAAAAAUAUCAAGGAAUUUACCAAGAAAAUUCUAAGGGUGGGAGAUGUGAUUUCGGGUAAAGCUCGCCUAGAAUUUAUGAAGCCCUGGGAUCAACCCCCAGUACUACAAAAGAAACAAAACAAAACAAAACUCCUAGAACUAAGGUCUAGGGAUAUAAGUUCACCAAGGUCUAAGGAAAUAAGACACACAUUUUUCAAAAGCAAUUAUAUUUCUAAAUAUUAGCAAUUAACAUGUGGACAUUGAAAUGAAAAAUACAAUAUCAUUGCCAGGUGUGAUGUUGCACAACUGUAAACUUUGUGACUUGGAGUCUGAUGGAGGAGGAUUGCAAGUUCAAGGCCAGCCUCAACAAUUUAGCAAGACCUUUGUCUGAAAAAAAAUAUUUUAGAAGUGCUGGGGAUGCAGCUCAGUGGCAGAGUGCCCUUGGGUUUAAUACUCAGCAUGGGAAAAAAAAUCAUCUACAAUCUCUCAAAGUAUGAAAAAAAGAAAUAAGUAACCUAAUAAUUUAUAACCAAUAAAAUGUGUAUAGGGCUUCUAUGCCUAAAACUACACAACACCGAUGAAAAGAAAUUAAGGAGAUAUCUGUAAAUGGAGAGAUAUGCUGUGUUAAAGGAGCAGAAGCUCAAAAAAAGAGAGAAGACUCAAAUCAAUUCUCCCCUAUUUGGUACACAGAUAUAAUGGAGUUCCUAUCAAAAUAUCCCAGCAAGAUUUUUUUAAUAGAUAGAGAUAAGAUUAUUCUAAAAUUUAUAUGAAAAAGCAAGGGCAGGGGGUGCUGGGUUGUGGCUCAGUGAUAGAGUGCUUGCCCUAGCAUGUGGGAGGCACUGGGUUUGAUCCUCAGCACCACAUAAAAAUGAAGAAAUAAAGGAAUUGUAUCCAACUACAAAUUUAAAAAUAUUUUAAAAAAAGAAAAAGAAAAGGCAAGGGAAAUAGAAAAGCUUGAACAAAAAUUGAAGAAUAAAGAGGGGCUGGGAUUGUAGCUCAGUGGUAGAGUGCUUGCCUAGCACUUGUGAGGCACUGGGUUCAGUUCUCAGCAAUGCAUGUAAUAAAUAAAAUAAAGGUCCAUCAACAACUAAAAAAUAAAAUAAAAGAGGAAGGAAUAGGGCUGGCAGACUGCCAUCAGAUGUUGGCACUUAAUGUGGGGCUUCCUAACCUCCAGAACUGUGAAAAAUAAAUUGCUGUUCUUUAUGAAUUACCUAGUUUCAGGUAUUCUUUUAUAGCUCAGUAGCAGAGUGCUUGCCUACCACCUGUGAGGCAUUGGCUUCAAUUCUCAGCACCACAUAAAAAUAAACAAAAGUAUUGUCUACAACUAAAAAAAAAAAUGUUUUUAAAAAAUAAAUAAAUAAAUAAACAAAAUAAAGGUAUUUUACUCAUCUAGUUAAAAAAAAUGGAACAAAUAAAGGCAGGCUGUCCAUCUACAACUAUUAAAAAAUAAAAAUUUGGAGGGAAGGAAUCACUUUCCAGAUGUUUUAUUUAAAGUUAACCAAGACUGUGGAAUGGAUUAGAGAACCCAGAAGAGAUACACAAAUAUUCCCAAUGGUUUUGUUGUUGUUAUGAAAAACCAGCCUCUAUCUCAGAGCAAAACCUGUCCAAGGAAGGGACAUGGCCUUUGUCCUUGGAAAAACCCACAGAGCACUCCUAAGCACAUUCCCACCCUGCUAAGUUGUUUAUCUACAAAUAACAGGAGAAAUCUGCUGCCCAGGUGUCCCUGACUCAGUCAGGCUAGGUGGAGAUCAAUAGCAACCCCCUAGCAGCCACCAAUCAGCAUGAGACAGGGAAAUACCUGGGAUGCCAGAUGACCCUCCCAGUUUAUGGUGGUUGAUAACAUGUUGGGAAACCAUGUAGUUCAGUAUGUACACCCCUCUUGGCUUAAACCAAUCAGUUCAAAUGAAUCCCCCUUUUGUACUGACCAAUCACCCCUACCCAACUUGUUCCCGCCAGUGAAUGUGCUAAUCAUGUUUUAGAGUUGUUAUUUUAUUUUCCCGCGGUGUGUGAUGAUUUGCUAAAAGAGGCUAUGAUGUAUGUGAAGUCCCUGCCCUCUCCAAAGAAUGUAUAAAACUGCUGCAAAACCUGGGCUGGGGCCUCUCAGUGUCACCAGUUGCUGUGUGUGCUCGCUGAGGACCGAGCUAGCUCGCAAUAAAUUUUACACCUAAAGCUUGAUUCAUAAAGGAAAAGGGUGAUAUAUUGGACAUCAGAAUUACAAACUUAAAAAUAGCUUUAUUGAACCAUAUAUAAUCUGCAUGCCAUGCAACUUACCCAUUUAUACAUAUUAUAUACUUUAGGUUUAUUGUUCAAUGGUUUUUGUACAUUAUUUUUUAAAUUGCAAUAUGCUAUAAUGUAAAACUUUCUAUCUUAACUAUUUUAUUUUAUUUAUUUUUUUGAUUCAGCAACAUCAAUGUUUAUAAAAGCACAAUUCACAAUAAACAGCCAAGUUAUGAAAUCAGUCCUUAAUAGAUGAAUGGAUAAGAAAAUGUGGUAUAUACACACCAUAAAUUUUACUCAGCUAUAAAGAACAAUGGAAUUAUGUCAUUUGCUAGUAAAUGGAUGAAACUGGAGAAUAUCUUGCUAAGUGAAAUAAGCCAGGAUCAAAGUCAAGGGUUUGUUUACUCUCUUUUGCAGAAGCUAGAGAUAAAUAAGAAAUAAAAAAUGAAGGGAGACCUCAUGAAAAUAGAAGGGAGAACUGGAAUAAACGAAGGGGACUGAGGGGAGGAAAGAGGAAUGGUUAGGGGAGGAAUUGUAGAUUAAAAUUAACCAAAUUAUGCUAUGUGCAUGUGUGAAUACAUCAUGAUGAAUUCCACUUUUAUCUAUUUUUUUUAGUUUUCUUAUUGUGUUAUUUAUAUAGUAUCUUUUUUUUUGCAUUACAAUCCUUAUUACACAUAUAGAGCACAAUUUUUCGUAUCUCUGUAUAUAAAGUAUGUUCACGCCAAUUUGUGCCAUUAUACAUGUACUUGUUUUUGCAUUAUAAUUCUUUUUUUAAAGAAUUUUAAUAUUUAUUUUUUAGUUUUCGGCAGACACAACAUCUUUGUUUGUAUGUGGUGCUGAGGAUCGAACCCAGGCCACACGCAUGCCAGGCAAGUGCGCUACCGCUUUAGCCACAUCCCCAGCCCGCAUUAUAAUUCUUAAUACACAUAUAUACCACAAGUUUUCAUAUCUCUGUUUGUAUAUAAGGUAUAUUGACACCAGAUUCAAGUCUUCAUAUAUAUACUUUAGUUGUUUUUUUUUUAAUAUUUAUUUUUUCAUUGUAAUUGAACAUAAUACUGUUGAGGGCCACAACCAGGUCAAGAUGGCGCCUGGCACUUUGCCAGGAGGAGUGGUUUGUGAAGUAACGCCACCCAUCCAUUAAGAUGAUGGAGAUUCCUUAUUGGCUGAUUGCUGUAUCUAGAUGAUGUUAAUUGAAACAAGCUGUGUAUAAUCGGUUGGGUAUAUAUACCUCUGCUGUCCUGCAAUAAAGCGGCUCCCGCUGUUUCAACCUUCACAAGUUGCUUGUCACCCCCCCCCCCAUUAUUUUGUCCAGCAAGACUGCAGCACAAUACUUUUAUUUUAUUUGUUUAUUUUUAUGUGGUACUGAGGAUUAAACCCAGGGCCUCACACGUGCUAGGCGAGCACUUUACCACUGAGCCACAGCUCCAUCCCCCAUACAUGUAUUUUGUAUAAUGAUGAUCAUUACAUUCCACCAUCCUUGCUAAUCCCCUUCCCCUCCCUUUCCCUCCCACCCCUCUACCCUAUCUAGAAUUAAUCUAAUCCUCCCAUGCUCUCCCUCUCUACCCCACUAUGAGUCACCUCCUUAUCUUAACUAUUUUUAAACUCAAAGGCAAUAAUUACAUUUGCAUUGUGGUGCAACCACUGAGCUAUACUCCCAGUCCAUUUUGUUUUAUUUGAGACAGGGACUCCAUAAGUUACCCAGGCUGACCUUGAAUUUAUAUCCUCUUGCCCCAGCCUCACAAGUAGCUAGGAUUACAAGCAUGUGCCACCAUGCCUGCCCAAAACUUUAUCACUUCAGACAGAAACUGUGUUGUGUUUGAAUGUAUUCCUUCCAAAAUUCAGAUAUUGAAACUGGCCAAUGUGACAAUAUCGAGAAGGGGGGACUUUAAGAGGUGACGAGGUUUUGAGGCCUCCUAAUUUAGAAAUGGAAUUAAGUGCCUUUAUUAAGAGUUUGAUGGGAGCUGGGGAUGUGGCUCAAGCAGUGGUAGCGCACUCGCCUGGCAUGCGUGCGGCCCUGGUUUGAUCCUCAGCACUUCAUACAAACAAAGAUGUUGUGUCCGCCGAGAACUAAAAAAUAAAUUAAAAAAAAAAAAAAGAGUUUGAUGGAAGGAGUUUUGCUCUUUUGCCAUGUGAGUAUGAAGUGUUACUACCCUUUGGAGUACUCAUUGUUCAAGGCAUCUUCUUGGAAGCAGAAAGCAGCCCUCAUCAGAUGCUAGCAAUCCUUAAUUUGGGGCUUCUUAACCUCCAGAACUGUGAGAAAUAAAUUGCUGUUCUUUAUGAAUUAUCUAGUCUCAGAUAUUCUUUUAUAGCAGCACAAAUGAGCUAAGACAUCAUUGAACUCCCGGGCUGAAAAGCCCCAGCAUAGUGCUUGCUGAUCCCAAAGAAAGAACUUGGAGAGGAUUUGGACAUUUUCUGACUCACGAACUCCAUGGCAACAGCAGGCUGGGACCAUAUGGAGGGCACAAUGUACUUACAAGCUGGGGGAAUAGAUACACAGGAUGGGUUGUGUGCCAACUGUGCAUAUGAGUUUCUUCAGAUAUUUUAUUAAGUACAUGUCUUUACUUCAAGGCCAAGGUCCUUCUGCUUUGAUUCCUACAGUAAAGAUUGGAGAUAAGUGGCCAGUUUGCCUCCUCCUUACCCUGCCUUGGAAGUACAUUCUUUGAAGUCUUUCUUAGCUUACCUCCUGGAACAAGCAUUCCUGGGCCCUGACCAGUGUUAAACCCCACUGACACUCAUUAAGUAAGAACUUCCCAUGUUUCCCUCUUGCUAGCUAUAGGUUACCUCUUGGUGACCUUUAAUCCCCUUUCCGUCUUUUUUAAUUCGCUUAUUCUAAGUAUUUCAUCUAAGUGGAAUGAUAAAAUAUUUAUACUUUUGUGUCUGGCUUAUUUCACUUAGCCAAGUUGAUUCAUUUCAUAGCAUCUAUUGGAAGGAGCUUGACUUUUUUUUUUUUUUAAGAGAGAGUGAGAGAGAGGUAGAGAGAGAGAGAAUUUCAACAUUUACUUUUUAGUAUUUGGUGGACACAACAUCUUUGUUUGUAUGUGGUGCUGAGAAUCGAACCCGGGCCGCACGCAUGCCAGGCAAGCGCGCUACAGCUUGAGCCACAUCCCCAGCCCAACUUUUUUUUUUUUAAAGAGAAUUUUUUUUUAAAUAUCUAUUUUUUAGUUUUUCGGCGGACACAACAUUUUUGUUUGUAUGUGGUGCUGAAGAUCGAACCCAGGCCGCACGCAUGUUAGGCGAUUGCGCUACCGCUUGAGCCACAUCCCCAGCCCCAGGAACUUGACUUUUUAAAAAAAAAAAAAAUUCUUUUUUCAGUUGUAGGUGGACACAAUACCUUGGCUUAUUUCAUUUAGCAUGAUAGUCUCCAGUUCCAUCCAUUUACCAGAAAAUGCCAUAAUUUCAUUCUUUAUUAUGGCUGUGUAUAUAUACCACAUUUAAAAAAAUAUUUUUAAUUGUCAAUGGACCUUUAUUUAUUUAUUUACUUAUUUUAUUGAUAUGUGGUGCUGAGAAUUGAACCCAGGGCCUCACACAUGUUAGGCAAGUGCUCUACCACUGAGCCAUAACCCCAGCCCAUCCACAUUUUCUUUAUCCAUUCAUUUGUUGAAGGGUUCCAUAGCUUGGCUAUUGUGAAUUGAAUUGCUAUAUACACUGAUGUGGCUGCAUCACUAUAGUAUGCUGAUUUUAAAUCCAUUGGAUAUAUGCUGAGGAGUAUGAUAACUGGAUCAAAUGGUGGUUCCAUUCCAAGUUUUCUGAGGAAUCUCCAUACUGCUUUCCAGAGUGGUUGCACCAAUUUGCAGUUCCACCACCAAUGUAUGAGUGUAGCUUUCCCCCACAUCUUUGCCAACAUUUGUAGUUUUAAUUGGCAUUUCUCUAAUUGCUAGAAAUAUUGAACUUUUUUUUUAUAUAUUUGUUGACCGAUCAUAUUCCCCCUUCUGUGAAGUGUCUUUUAGUUCCUUUACCCUUUUAUUGAUUGGGUUAGUUGGUUUUUUUGUGUUAAGUUUUUUUGAGUUCUUUAUACAUCCUGGAGAUUAAUGCUCUAUCUGAGGUGCAGGUGGCAAAGAUUUUCUCCAUUCUCUGUUUACAUUCCUGAUUAUUUCCUUUGCUGUGAAGAAGCUUUUUAAUUCGAUACCAUCCCAUUUAUUGGUUCUUGAUUUUACUUCUUGUGCUUUAGGAGUCUUGUUGAGGAAUUUGAUUCCCAAGCCAACAUGAUGGAGAUUUGGCUCUACCUUUUCUUCCAGUAAGUGCAGGGUCUCUGGUCUAAUGCCUAGGUCCUUGAUCCACUUUGAGUUUUGUACCAAUAUCACCAAUUUCAUAGACAUCCUGGAGGAGACACAAAGUCUUGUGAGUUGGAUGAGUUGGUGGCAGGACGAAAUCUAAAGCUUUGAGCAGUGUGGUUCCAGGGGAACUGCCCUCUUUGCGGUUGACUUCCCAUCCCUUGAACCAAGGGAUAUUAACAUUUGGCUCCAAUAUGUUCCAGCCAGAAAUUGGCACAAAUGCUACUAUGUCAGGAUUGUAGCCAAUUUUCUUAAAGUAGGUGCUGACUUCCUUAACAAUUUCCUCGUAUCUCUUCCUACUAUAGGGUGGCUCAGUGGAAUCCAAUUCGUUAACAUCAACAGUUAGUUGUUUCACAUCCAGUGUGUAAGACAAGAGGCCAUACUCAUGGGUCUGCCCAUUCUCGGAGAUACCAGUUUCAAAGUCACCAACACCAGCAGCAACAAACAGGACAACAUAGUCAGCCUGUGAUUAUGUGCCUGUAAUCAUGUUUUUGGUAAAGUCUCUGCGUCCUGGGCCAUCAAUGAUAAUCACAUAAUACUUGUGGGUCUCAAAUUUCCACAGGGAGAUGUCAAUGGUGACACCUUGCUCACGCUGAGCUUUCAGUGUAUUUAAGACCCAGACAUACUUAAAGGAGCCCAUUCCCAUCUCAGCAGCCUCCUUCUCAAAAUUUUCAGUGGUUCUUUUGUUGAUUCCACAUUUGUGGAUCAGAUGGCCAGUGGACCUGCCAGAAUCUACAUGUCUGAUGACAAUGAUGUUGAUGUCUUUUCCUUUCCCAUUUUGACUUUGAUUUAGCAGUGGGUUUUCAUGACACCUGUAUUCUGGCAGCAAACUCAUCGCACAAAAGUCAUUCUCAAUAGUGUCCUUUGAUACAUAAAAGUUUUUAAUUUUGAUAAGGUCUAAUUUAUCUAGUCUUUUAUUGCUUGUUCUUUUUGAGUGCUACCCAAGAAAUCAUCACCAAAUCCUGUGUCAAAGAUUUUUCCCUAUGUUUUCUUCAAGGAGUUUCAUAAUUUUAACUCUUACAUUUUUGAUCAAUUGGGUUAGUCAUUGUAUAUAGUUUAAGAGUCCAGCUUAAUUUUUUUUUAGUUAUACAUGACAGCAGAAAGUAUUUUAACAUAUAAUACAUACAUGGAAUGUACAUACAUCAAAGCUUAAUUUUUUUACAUGUAAAAUAUUUUAUUUUCCUUGCAUCAUUUGUUGAAAAGGUUGUUAUUAGUCCACAUUUAUCCAUUAAAUGGUCAUGGCAUCCUUGUCAAAUGUCAGUUGAUGGUAUGAGUUGGGGUUUAUUUCUGGGUUCCCCUCUUUAUUCCAUGGGUCUAUAUGUCUGUCUUUAUCCAAUACUAUGCAUUUUUUUGAGAGAGAGAGAGAGAGAGAGAGAGAGAGAGAGAGAAUUUUAAUAUUUAUUUUUCAGUUUUCAGCGGACACAACAUCUUUGUUUGUAUGUGGUGCUGAGGAUCGAACCCGGGCGCACGCAUGACAGGCGAGCGCGCUACCGCUUGUCACAUCCCCAGCCCCAUACCAUGCAUUUUUUUUUUUUUAAUGUUUAUUUUUUAGUUUUUGGCAGACGCAACAUCUUUGUUUGUAUGUGGUACUGAGGAUCGAACCCGGGCCACACGCACGCCAGGCAAGCGCGCUACCGCUUGAGCCACAUCCCCAGCCCAUACCAUGCAUUUUUGAUGACUGCUUCUUGUAGCAAGUUUUAAAGCCAGGAAAUGUGAGUUCUAUAACUUUAUUCUUUUUUAGUUGUAGUUGGACACAAUACCUUUAUUUUAUUUAUUAAUUUUUAUAUGGUGCUGAGGAUUGAACUCAGGGCUUGGCAUGUGCUAGGUGAGUGCCCUAUCGCUGAGCCACAACCCCAGCUCAACUCUAAGAUCAUUUUGGCUAUUUAGAAUCUCUUAAGAUUCCAUGUGAGUUUUUGGAUGGCCUUUUCUUUCUAUAAAAAAUACAUUUGGGGGGGCUGGGUUGUGGCUCAGUGGCAGAGCAUUUGCCUAGCAUAUGUGAGGCACUGGAUUCGAUUCUCAGCACCACAUAUAAAUAAAUAAAGGUCCAACCAACAACUAAAAAAAAAUUAAAAAACAAAAACAACAACAACAAAAACACCAUUUGAAUUUUAAGAGGGAUUGUUUUGAAUCUAUGGACCACCCUUCACCCUUGUAUUGUCACCUUAACAGUAUUAAGUAUUUUAAUUAAUAAACAUUAAAUAUAUAUAUUUUAUGUUUGUUUAGGUCUCAUUUUAUAUAUAUAUAUAUAUAUAUAUAUAUGUAUUUUUUUUUUUUUUUUUGAGAUGGGUCUUGCUGUGUUGUUCACGCUGAUCUAGAACUCCCGGACUCAAGAAAUCCUCCUGCCUCAGCCUCCUGAGUAGCUGGGACUACAGGCGCAUGCCACCUUUUUUUAAAAUAAUUUUUGAUGUAUAAAUCAAUCCUUAUUUAAAUUUACUCCGAAGUAUUUUAUUCUCUUUUGGCUACUGUAUUUGAAAUUGUCUUUAAAUUUCCUUUCUAGGUUGUUCACUGAAAGUGCAUAGAGAAGUACAACUGAUUUUUGUGUUUUAAUUUUGUAUCCUAUAUUUUUGUUCAAUUCUUUUUUUUUUUUUUUUUUUUUUUUUUUUUUUUGUGAUGGGAAUUGAACCCAGGGAUUGAUCCAUGCUAGGCAAGCACUGUCACUGAACUACAUCCCCAGCACUUUUUAAAAAUUUUUAUUUUGAGAGUGUUGGCAAACCUGUAAUCCUGGUGACUGAGGAGGCUGAAGCAGGAUAAUUGCAAAUUCAAGGUCCCCUGCACAAUUCAGCAAGACCCUGUUUCAAAAUUAAAAAUUAAAAAAGGGCUGGGGAGGGACUGGGAUUGUAGCUCAGUGGUAGAGUGCUUGCUUGCCUUGCAGUGAGGCACUGGGUUUGAUCCUCAGCACAGCAUAUAAAUAAAUAAAGGUAUUAUGUCCAUUUACAACUUAAUAAUAAAGGGGUUGGGGAUGCAACUCAGUGGUAGAACACCUCUGGGUACAAUCCCUUCUACUACAACUAUUACAAAAUCUUUUUUGAGCCAGAGUCUUACUAAAUUGCCCCCCGGGGCUAGCCUUGAACUUGAAAUCUUGCCUCCAUUUCUCAAGUAGCUGGGAUUAGCAGGUAAGCACCACAAUGCCUGGUUUGAACUCACUUUUUAACACUAACAAUUGUGUGUGUGUGUGUGUGUGUGAAUUCUUUAGGGUUUUCUACAUAAAAGAUUUCAUCUGCAAACUAAUAUUUUUCUUUCUUUCCAAUUAUGUGCCAUUAUUUUUUUUCUUACCUAAUUGCUUUAGCUGAAAUUUCCAAUAAUAAGUCAAAUAGAAAUGAUAUAAGUAGAACUGGAAUGUAGCUCAGUGGUAAAAUGUUUGUCUUGCCCUGAGUUGAUCCCCAGUAAUGAAAAAGAAAAAAAAAAGUGACUAACAUAGGUAUCGUUGUUUUGUUCCUUAGAGGAAAGGCUUCCAUUAUUUCACCACUGAGCGUGAUGUUAACUGUGGGGUUUUCAUAGGUAUGCUUUAUCUACUUAUUGUUGAGGAUAAAAUUCUUAGCAUACUGUUUUUAUCAUGAAAACAUGUUAAAUUUUGUUGAACUUUUUUCAGCCUUGAGAUGAUCAUGUUGUUUUUUCCUUCACUCUAUUUAAAGUUAAUUCUAUUAUACUUAAAUAAAUAUGAAUUCCUUGUACUAAUUAUUCAAUUUAACAUACCUAAUAAUAUGUGUAUUCCAAGAAUUAAUCUUUGUUAUGAUUAUAUAAUUCUUUUAAUUUGCUGCUAAGUUGGGUUUGUUAGAGCUUUUGUUGAGAAUUUUUGCAUUUAUACUCAUGAGAUAUUUUCUUGAUUUAUAAUUUUCUUGUCUUUGUUUGGAAUUGUUAUCAGGGUAGCGCUGGCCCCAUAGAAUAACUUAGAAAACAUUCCCUUCUCUUCAAAUUUUUGGAGGAGUUUGAGUAAAAUUGGUAAUAGUUCAUUUAAAUAAUACAUCAGUAAAACUAUCUGAUUCUGAAUUUUUCCAUUGUUGUAGGGAUAUUUUUUGAUUAUUGAUACAACCUCUUUACUAGUUAUUGGUUUCUUCAGAUUUUUCAGUUUCUUCUUGAGUCAGUUUUGGUAGAUGGUGUGUUUCUAGAAAAACUUCCACUUCAUCUAAGUUAUCCAAUUUGUGAGAAUGCAACCAUUUGUGGUUUUAUGUUUUUAUUCUGUAAAAUCAGUAAUAAUGUUUUCUUUCAUUUCUGAUGAUUUUUAUGAGUUAGAAAACAGUUCCAAUUUUAUUCAUAAAAUUAUUAAUCCAAAUUGCAAAAGCAGAUUUACAUAGGCAUGGGUCAAUUACAAAACAGGAGGACAAUGAAAUGUUCCAGAAACAUCCUGAAAAGUUCCAAGCAGCACAUACUAUGCAAAACAUCCAGUUAAACCACAGUUGUGGGACAGGUAAUAUUCAUUACUGCCUUUUCUCCAUGAACUCUUCCCUAUAUUUGCUUUUCUUUUCCAACUUGCUGAGACUUGGCUCUGCAUAAAAAAAAAAAAAAAAUCUUUAUCAAAGUCUAGCCUGGUAAUAACCACCUUGCUUGGGUGGAUGCCCAUGUGGACGGUUGUGCUGUUAGCCUUCUCAGCUGCACCCACUCCGUGUAAAUGACAUAUUUUUCCUUACACCUGGACUACCUUGCUGAUUUGCUGAUCUUUGCAGUGUCCUCGAACUACCUGGACCUUGUCGUCCUUGCAGAUGGGCACCUGAAGGACUUGUAAUUCCGCUGUAGCUCCUCAGAGAGCCUGAGAACCAGAACUUCCUGCACAUGUGCUUUUAUGGUUUUUAGUGGUCUGAGAUCACUAAGAGGUUGAACUUCAUGCAGACUGAGGGCACCUGCGGUGUCAGUUGUUUCUUUUUUUUUUUUUUUUUCCUUUCUGGCUUUAAUAUUUUGAGUCUUCUCCCCCCCCCCCUUUUUUAAGUUAAUCUGGCUAAAAUUUUGUCAAUUUUGUUGAUCUCAUGAACCAGAUUUUAGUUUUAUUGUCUCUAUUGUUUUUCUAUGUUCUAUUUAUCUCCAAUCUAAUCUGUAUUAUUUUCUUCCAUCUGAUGAAUUUGGAUUUCAUAUACUCUAAUUUCUUCCUGUGUAUAGUUAUUUUAUUGAUAUGAGAUCUUCUUUUGUAAUAUAUGCAGUUGUGGUUAUAAACUGCUUUCACUAUAUCCUAUAAGUUUUGGAAUUUGUGUUUUCAUUUUCAUUCAUUCAAAAUAAUUUUCUAAUUUUCCUUGUAAUUCUUUUUCUUUGACACAUUAGCUGUUGAAGAGUAUGUUGUUUAAGGUGGAUGGAGUAGUGCCCACCUGUAAUCUCAGCACUCCCAGCUACUGGGGAGGCUGAGGCAGGAGGAUCACAAGUUUGAGGUCAGUCUCAGCAAUUUAGCAAGAACCUGUCUCAAAAUAUAAAAUUAAAAGGGGGCUGAGGAUGUGGCUCAAGCGGUAGCGGGCUCGCCUGGCAUGCGUUUGGUCGAGUUUGAUCCUCAGCACCACAUACAAACAAAGAUGUUGUGUCCGCCGGAAAACUAAAAAAUAAAUAUUAAAAAUUCUCUCUCUCUCUCUCUCUCUCUUUAAAAAAAAAAAAAUUAAAAGGGCUGGGAAUGUAGCUCAGUGGUAAGACUACCCCUGGCUUUAUUUUUAUUUUUAUUUUUUUUAAUUUUUUAUUGUUGGCUGUUCAAAACAUUACAUAGUUCUUGAUAUAUCAUAUUUCACAAUUUGAUUCAAGUGGGUUAUGAGCUCCCAUUUUUACCCCAUAUACAGAUUGCAGAAUCACAUCAGUUACACAUCCAUUGAUUUACAUAUUGCCAUACUAGUGUCUGUUGUAUUCUGCUGCCUUUCCUAUCCUCUACUAUCCCCCCUCCCCUACCCCUGGCUUUAAUCCCCAGUACAAAAAAAAAUUUAAAAAUCUAAGACUAUGUAUUUCAUAUAAGAACUUGUCUGCUAUGUACAUAGCCUUAGUGAACACACACACACACACAAAAAAAAACUGUUUAUAAUCUGGUCUAUCUUCUAAUGUGAUCAUUUUGGUCUUAAACCUUUCCCUCCUCACUUCCUUCUCUCUGCCUUUAGUUCAGUGGCUCAGUAUAGGCAUAUACAAUGCUUGCAGAUAGUUGAAUAAGUUCAUAUUUAGAAAUCAUUUACAGAGAACAAUCUUUCCCAUGAAUUUCAACACAAAAUACAAAUAUGCUAAAUUUAUUAAUUUGUCAUACACUAACAAUCUCUUUAAUAUCUAGAAAAUAAAUGUUGCAAAGUUGUCCAUUAUUUAUGCUAUAUAUGCAGCAAAACAGAAAUGCACAAAGCCUACAGAAAAAUGUCUGAAAAUGCCCAAGUAUGAAUGCGCUCAGCCCUUUGCAAUUGCUUCCCUCCUGUCACCUCCACAUCAAUGAACAAGUACAGGCAGUACACCACAGAGUGGUGUAAUAAUUCCAUUUCCAAAAACCAAUAUCUCAUGUGAAUUUAGAAAUAAAAGAUAUUUACAAAAUGAUGUUUUACUACCUCUACACUAGAUAACACUAGAUAUUUCAAAUAAUGGCUCAAUUGUCCACUAUGUACUCAAUAGUCUUGAAUAAAGUGCACACAUGUCACAAUAGUUCUAAUAAGAAAGUCCCUUCAAAUUCUGGCCGUGCACAAUUCAGUGGGCUAUAAUGCUCAAUUCUCAGAAGAUAAUCUUUUUUUUUUUUUAAGUUGUAUAUGAACACAAUAUGUUAUUUUAUUUUUUUAAUAUUUAUUUUUUUAGUUUUCCGCAGACACAACAUCUUUGUUUGUAUGUGGUGCUGAGGAUCGAAUCUGGGCCUCUCGAAUGCCAAGCCAAAGAGCUACCGCUUGAGCCACAUCCCCAGCCCCACCUUUCUUUAUUUUUAUGUGGUGUUGAGGAUGGAGUCCAGUGCCUCACACAUGCUAGGCAAGUGCUCUACCAAUGAGCUACAAUAACAGCCCUCAGAAUACAAUCUUUCUUAGGAAGUUUAUUUUAUUUAUUUUUUAGGUACUGGGGAUAUAACACAUUUUACCACUGAGCUGCAUCCCAAUCCUUUUUUUUUUGAGACCAAGUUACUUAGGGCCUCUAAAUUGUUGAGGUUGGCCUUGAACUUGUGAUCCUCCUGUUUCAGCCUCCCAAAUCACUUCUAGAGGUGAACUAGCAAAUCCAUUUCAAAAAGUCACUUCCAAUAGACAAUUUCUGAAUUUUUAAAACAAAUGGAGGGCUGGGGAUGUGGCUCAAGCAGUAGCGCGGUAGCGCGCUCCCCUGGCAUGGGUGCGGUUAGAUCCUCAGCACCACAUACAAAGAUAUUGUCUCUGCUGAUAACUAAAAUGUAAAUAAAAUAUUUAAAAAAUGGACAUUUACCAGAAUCGUUACUUACUAUCUUGCUUCCAAGCUCUUUACAACUAGGAAGUCCAGAUGUAGGGAAAAGUUUUCCUUCAAAAGGAUAGGGAGGGGGACGUGGUGGCGCAUGCCUGUAAUCCCAGCGGCCUGGGAGGCUGAGGCAGGAGGAUCAUGAGUUCAAACCCAGCCUCAGCAAUUGUGAGGCUCUAAGCAACUCAGUGAGACCCUGUCUUUAAAUAAAAUACAAAAAUAGGUCUGGGGAUGUGGCUCAGUGGUCAAGUGGUCAAGUGCCCCUGAGUUCAAUCCCUAACCCCCCCAUCCCCGCCUCCGCAAAAAAAAAAAAAAAAAAAAGAUAGGUACUGCCAUACCCAGCUCCAGAUUUUUUUUUUUCCUCAUGAUUUCAUUUUGUAUCACUCAUCAAUGCCAAUCCCAAGGUCAAGAAAAUUUACCCCUGUGUUUUCUUCUAAGGUUUUUUUGUGUUUUACUCUUUUAUUUUUAGACCUUUUUUAUUGAACCAUUUUCAGUUAAUUGCUGUAUAUGGUGUGGGAUACGGGUAAGCUCAGCUUGAUUCUUUUGCAUAUGGGUAGCCAGUUGUUCCAGCACCUUUUCUUUCUACCUUGUUCAGUCUUAGAAACUUUAGAAGUUGAGACAGGAGGAUUGCAAAUUGGAGGCCAUCCUGAGAGAGCUCUGUCUCAGAAUAAAAAGUGCUGGGCAUGUAGCUCAGUAGUAUGGUACCCCGUGGUUCAAUCCCCAGUCCCCUUCCCCCCUAAAAAAAAAAUCACUGAGCCCAUCCCAAAGAAAUGUUAAUGAAGCAGCUUCCAGCAAACGUGGAGAUGCUAAUCCAAAAGUCCUUCCUGGAGCUGGGGAUGUGGCUCAAGCGGUAGCGCGCUGGCCUGGCAGAUGCGUUCCGCCCGGUUCGAUCCUCAGCACCACAUACAAACAAAGAUGUGGUGCCCUUCCUGCCCACAUUACUGCGCACCUGUCCCCCACCCUUAGGGUCUUCCCACCUACAUUCUAUCACUGCAGGAUAACAGAACAAAAGACAGGAAUGCUGGCUGGAAUAUGGGAAAGCUGAAAGAAGAAGACCUCAGCCUUCCAUGGAUUCUACUUCUUGGGUCCCCUUCUUCCUUCUGGGAGAAGUCUUCUCUACUGUCCUUUAAUGAAGUUUUACUUUCCACUCUAAAUAAAUAAAUAGAUAAAUAAAUAAAUCACUGAAUGAUUUUGGCACCCUUGAAAAAAAUCAAUUCACUGUAGAUAUGGGAUUUUACAUCUGGACUCUCAAUUCUAUUCCAUUGACCUUUAUAUCUGUUAAAUUGCUAGUAUUAUACUAUUUUGAUUAUUGUAGCUCUGCAGUUAAAUUUUGAAAUUGGCAAAUGUGAAUCUUCAACUUUUUUCUCCUUUUUGAAAAUUGUUUUCACCAUUUGGGGCCUUUGCAAUUCCAAAUGAAUUUAAGAAUUAAUGUUUCCAAUUCUACAAUAAAAAGCCAUUAGAAUUUUAGAGGGAUAGCAUUGAGUCUUUAAAUUGCUUUGAGUAUACUUGCUAUUCUAAUCAUGUUUACAUCAUCCAGUCCACAUGUGACCCCAUUUACUUAGGUGUUCCUCAAUUUCUUCCAGCAGUGUUUUGCAAUUUUUUUUUUUUGUACCAGGGAUUUCACCCAGGUGCUUAACCACAGAGCCACAUCUCAGACAUUUUUAUAUUUUAUUUAGGAGAUAGAGUCUUGCUAAGUUGCUUAGGCUGGCUUUGAAAUCACAAUCCUACUGCCUCAGCCUCCCCAGCUGCUGGAAUUACAGGCAUGUGCCACCAAGCCUGGCUGUUUUUAAUGUCUGAGCCUUUCAUUUCCUGGAGUAAAUUUAUUCCUAGGUAUUUUAUUAUUUUUGAUGCUAUUGUAAAUGGAAUUGCUUUGUCAAUUUUCUUUCCAGGUAGUUCAUUGUUGAUAUGUAGAAACAGUUGAUUUAAAAUAUAUAUAUAUAUAUAUAUAUAUAUAUAUAUAUAUAUAGUUGUAGAUGAAUACAAUACCUAUAUUUUAUUUUUAAUGUAGUGCUGAGGAUCUAACCCAGUGCUUCAUGCUAGGUAAGAGCUCUACCACUAAGCUACAACCCCCAGCCCAAAUUAUAUAUAUAUAUAUAUAUAUAUAUAUAUAUAUAUAUAUAUAUAUAUAUGGUGUAGAUGGACACAAUACAUUUGUUUUUAUGUGGUGCUGAGGAUCUGGGGAUCCAACCCAAUGCCUCACAUGUGCUAAGUAAGCACUCUACCACUGAGCCACAACCCCAGCCACACUGUUGAUUUUUGUGUUGAUCUUGUACCUUGUAGCUUUGCCAGACUUGUUAACAUUUUUGUGGAACUUUUGGCAUUUUCUAUAUAAAGUUCGUGUUAUCUAUGAAUAGGGAUAGUUUUGUGUCUUAUUUCUGUUAUGCUCGAAUUUGGGACCCCCCCAAAAGACCACCAGAGACCAAGAUCGAUGUAAGCAGCAAAGAGGUGUUUAUUGCGAGCUAGCUUGGUCCUCUGUGUGCGCACAGCAACUGGUGAUGCUGAGAGGCCCCGAGCCCAGGGUUUGCAGCAGUUUUAUACACUCUUUGGGGAAGGCAGGGACUUCACAUAUAUCAUAACAUCUCUUAGCAAAUUAUCACACACCACGGGAAAAUCAUAAAACAAGUCUAAAACAUGAUUAGCACAUUCACUGGCGGGAACAAGUUGGGUAGGAGUGAUUGGUUAGUACAAGAGGGGGAUUUGUUUGAACUGAUUGGUUUAAACCACGAGGGGAGUACAUGCUGAACUACAUGGUUUCCCAACAUGUUAUCAACCAUCAUAAACUACUGGGAGGGUCAUCUGGCAUCCCAGGUAUUUCCCUGUCUCAUGCUGAUUGGUGGCUGCUAGGGGGUUGCUAUGGGUCCUCACCUAGCCUGACUGAGUCAGGGACACCUGGCGCCACAGAUCUCUCCAGUUAUCUACAGACAAACAACUCAGCAGGGUGGAUAUGUGCCUAGGAGUGCUCUGUGGGUCUUUCCAAGGACAAGGGUCACGCCCCCUUCCUUGGACAGGCUUUGCUCUGAGGUAGAGGCUGGUUUUUCAAUUUCCUCAUCUGGAUGCCUUUUAUUCAUUUUCUUGGCUAAAUGCUUUGGCUGAACCAAUCUUCGUUAUUUAAUUUCUACAUAUUUGUGAAUUUUCCAGUUUUCUUUCUACUAUUGAUUUCUAGCUUCAUUCCAUUGUGGUCAGAUAAGAUAUUUAGUAUGAUUUCAAUAUUUCAAAAUUCAUUGAACAUAUCCAUGUGCUCUUGAGAAAAAUAUUGCUGUUGUUGAGGGGGUGUUCUAUAUAUGUCUGUUAGGUAUAGUGGGUUUAUAAUGCCAUUCAAGUCAUCUUCUUGAAUUUUAUUAUUCUGUCUAGAUGUUCUAUUUAUUAUUGAAAGUGGGGGUGUUGAAGUGUAUCAAAAAAGACCUCAAGUAGGAGCAACUGGAGAUGGAGGAAAAACACAGAGACAAAGAAAACAGACAUUUUCAAGUAAAGUUGGGGCCAGGUGGGGUGCUGUACUCUGAGGAACAGUGACCCAGAACUAGCUCUACAAGUUAUUAUAUAGGGCCUCACAAUCAGGAAGUUAAACUAUAGGGGCACUGUAAAUUGUUCAAGGCUUAUAAAUUAUAAAGAGGCUUCUUUGUGCACUAAAACGUUACAGAGCUAGAAACAUUUUUGCAGCUAUCCUGCUACACCCAGGGGCUUCCAGGGUGUACUGGAAGGUUAGAUAACUGUUAGCGUCAGAGCUGAGUGUGGAGGCUGUUAACAUCUUUGCCUUUUGGUAAGGAGUGUUUCCCAGGCCUGGCUUUUUCUGAUACCUUAAGAGCAGUGGAUAACUGGGAGCUCAUCCGAUCUCCACAUUGAAGUCUCCAACUACUUCUAUUUCUCCCUUCAAUUCUGUCAGAUAUUCAUAUAUUUUAGGAACUCUACUAUUGUUUUAUCUUCUUGAGUGAUUUAUAAUCUCUCUCUCUCUCAGAGUUUGUCCUACUUCAGGGCAAAAGAGCUGGAUGAUGAUGAUGAUGAUGAUGAUGAUGAUGAUUUUGCACUGGGGAUCGAACCCAGGGCCUUGUGCCUGCAAGGCAAGCACUCUACCAACUGGCUGUGUCCCCAGCCCAAAGUUGCUGGACUUUUGAACUCACACAUCAGUCACUGAAUAUAGGUUCCCCUGGAAGAGGGCAGAGAAUGGGUAAAGUGACUCCAGUGUCCAGCAGCAAGCAUCUGAAGGCGGAACAUACAGAAUAUGGGUUCACAGUGCUGGUAAAAGAAAUUUGCGGAGAAGAUGAAAAGACUUCCCAUGUUUAUGGAUAAGUAGAAUUAAUAUUCUUAAAAUGGCCAUAAUACCAAAAGCAAUAUACAAAUUCAAUGUAACCCUCAUCAGAAUACCAAUGACAUUCUUCAGAGCACUUGCCUAGCACGUGUGAGGCACUGGGUUCAAUUCUCAGCACUGCAUAUAAAUAAAUAAAGUCCAUUGACAACCAAGAAAAUAUUUUAAAAAAAGAAGACAAGAAGAAAGUGUUGGGUGUUGGGGACUGUAGCUCAGUGCUGGAGCACUUGCCUAGCACAGGUGAGACUCUGGGUUCAAUCCCUAGCCCCCUCCCACCAAAUGUGUGUGUGUGUUUGUGUGUGUGUGUGUGUGUGUGUUUAAGUGCUAGGAGGCUGUCAGCUUUAUUUCCCCUUUCUAGUUUUUACAAUGCCUUCUAAUGCUCUAUAUGCGGCACCCUGUCUAUCAAAUAUGUGCUGGGUAGAUAAGAGGUUCCUAAGAGUUUUUCUACCUCUGUACCAAAGGCCUCCCUGCCAAUAAUGGUCAGGCAACAUAAUGAUGAUCAUAAUAAUGUUUAGCUUUAUUGAGCACUUACUAUAUGCCAGGAAGUACUCUGAGUGCUUUAUAUUCAUUAUCUCAUUUAAUCUGAGAAGUUAUACAGAGAGAUACCAUUAUAUUAUGAUUUCCAUUUUAUGGAGAAGAACCUAAGGUAAUAAAUGGGAAAGCUAUAAUCUAAAUCUUUAGGCUAUACGAGUCCAAAAACGAAGCUCUUGGCCUCACUCUCUGAAAGGUAUAAUUAAUGGUGAAAGGGUUUGAUUUCGUAUAUGUUAAAUAAACAACAAAACCUAUAAAAUAAAAUAUCGAUAAUGCAAGAAAAGGCUGGGGAUAUAGCUCAAGGUAGAGUGCUUGCUUAGCACAUGGGAUGCCUUGGUUCAAUCCUCAGUACUGAAAAAAAAUAAAAAACAUGAGAAACAAUUUUAUUAGAAAUAUCCUAACAUAUUUUCUGGACAAGUAAUCAAAAAAUAAAUAAGGACAUAGAAGAUAUGAACAUAUAAAUUUCUUUUACUCUGAAAACAACCAGUAUAACUCCUUUUCAAGUUUCAUGGACAGUGACAAAAUUCAAAAAAUAUUAAACUACAUAGAAUAUUUCAGUUUUGAAAAGUAGAAGUCGUAGAAGCCAUUCUCUGAGCAAAACGCAGCACAACCAACAAUAUAUAAAACAUGCCACUUAGAAAUUUAAAAACAUAAAUAGUAAAUUAUCCUUAAGGAGUACAUCAAGAUUAAAAACAGACUGUUUGGAAAAUAAUUUGAGGUUGGAGUUGUGGUUCAGUGGUAGAGCACUUGCCUAGAAUGUGUGAGGCACUGGGUUCAACUCUCAGCACCGCAUAUAAAUAAAUAAAUAAAGGUCCAUCAACAACUAAAUGAAAAUAAUUUAAAUAGCCAAAGUUAUAUGUAGAGGUAAAUUAGCAGCAUUAAAUGCUUUUUAGUUUCAAAAAGAGAGAAAAAUAAAAUGAACGAAUUAUGCAUGCAGAUUGAGAUUUUGUAAAAUAAAGUAAUAAUUAUUCCCUCCAAGUGAGAGAAAGGGAAUAUUUGACAUAGAAAACAGAAAACCAAACCAAACAAAAACCCAAAAGCCUAAGAGCUGGUGGGACGUGCUUUGUGCCUGUGGAUAGACAAGUACGUAGUAGUGUCUGUGUGAAUUUGGUCUUCUGACAUGCGGCUCUAGAUUUUUCUACAUUUGACUAUCCUGUACCUCUAUUGUGGCACUGUAUAUGUUGCUUGACAGUGAAUUUUUCCACUUAUGACUCUCUUGACAGGACAGAGACCAUCUCUCCAUGCUCAUUGUAUUCUUGGGACUUGGUGUGUGGUGUUGGACCCUUGAUAAAUGUUUGCUGAAUAGAAUCAAUGGAUGAGUUCAAGUAUCGACUCCCACGUCUCCCAUGUUGUAUUUAGUCCCCAGAGUUCCUUCUGUCUCCACUGCCUAGCCACAUGCCCCAAGCCAAUGUCAUGAGGCCUGAAAUGAAUUAUUCUUACAAUAAGGGACAAACAAUGAAAUAUCUGCCUAGUGGAAUAUUAUGUAACCAAUAAUAAUUGUGUUGGCAAUGUGAAUAAAAUAUGAAGAUGUGGGGCUUUG